Molecule: long non-coding RNA, 560 nt
Filed under: Hordeum vulgare
Lineage: Eukaryota; Viridiplantae; Streptophyta; Magnoliopsida; Poales; Poaceae
Description: long non-coding RNA (HVUL_LNC019710)
Source: RNAcentral
AAAAGUUAUGCCACCACAUAAGAACACAUGAAAUAACACCCUCAUAUAGCAUGACCACAUGGAUCCAAACAUGAAAAGGUUUCCAAAUAUGGCAAGGUUACACUUGGGGCAUUACAUAGAGCCCCCCCCUAUGGUGGUUCUUUGCUCCAAUAUUUCUCUUUGCUUCCAAAAAAAUUGUCAUAAAGUAUCGUCCAAUUCUGAGAACUUUUGUUUCUGCACAAAAAACAACACCACGGUAAUUCUGCUGAAAACAACAUCAGUCCAGGUUAGUUCAAAAUAAAUCAUAUAAAGUGCAGCAAAACCAUAUAAAAGUAUUGUAAACAUAGGCAAACAUGGCAUGAAUACUUCAUAAAUUAUCAAUACGUUGGAGACGUAUUACCCCGCGGCACGUGUCAUCAAACGGCCUGACGCUCCCGUGGCAGUCUGGCCAUCAGGUGACUUUUUGGGUUGAUUGAAUCAAGAAAUUCCCUAUAUUUUGCAUCGCCCCGAGCGGGUAUUUCCCGGAUAUGUAACGAACUUGAUUAAACUUCACUUGAGAUGGUGUUGUUUGUGUAAAUCUU